This is a long non-coding RNA of Heterocephalus glaber (naked mole-rat), 275 nucleotides long. The record is from Ensembl. Lineage: Eukaryota; Metazoa; Chordata; Mammalia; Rodentia; Bathyergidae.
GCUCAGACACUGGAGUCUCCUCCAGAGAUGGGAAGUUACCACGGGAGAAAGGAUCACAGCACUCAGGACACUGGGGUGAAAGCUGCCGAAACCCUCACCACUGCACUCGAGCUUGAUGCCUGACAGCUGCGCUAAUCUCGCUACGCUCCAAAGUGGAGAAAAGAAACGGAAGUUGCCUUACCUGACAACGGAGACAAGCAAGAUGCGCCGAGAGCUCCAGUGGGGGCAGAACCUGGACUAUGAAUGAUAGCAGGUGAGAAGGGACCACCAACUUC